This 406-nucleotide ribosomal RNA is filed under the name uncultured bacterium. Its description in RNAcentral is "partial 16S ribosomal RNA". It matches the Rfam family "Bacterial small subunit ribosomal RNA", at positions 30 to 526 of the family's 1533-position model. The record is from RNAcentral.
AUUGAACGCUGGCGGCAGGCCUAACACAUGCAAGUCGAACGAGUGGCGGACGGGUGAGUAACGUCUGGGAAACCGCCCGAUGGAGGGGGAUAACUACUGGAAACGGUAGCUAAUACCGCAUACUAUUGGAUGUGCUCAGAUGGGCUUAGCUAGUGGGGGGGGUAACGGCGCACCAAGGCUACGAUCCCUAGCUGGGCUGAGAGGAUGACCAGCCACACUGGAACUGAGACACGGUCCAGACUCCUACGGGAGGCAGCAGUGGGGAAUAUUGCACAAUGGGCGCAAGCCUGAUGCAGCCAUGCCGCGUGUAUGAAGAAGGCCUUCGGGUUGUAAAGUACUUUCAGCGAGGAGGCGUUACUCGCAGAAGAAGCACCGGCUAACUCCGUGCCAGAAGCCGCGGUAAUUC